This 229-nucleotide ribosomal RNA is filed under the name uncultured bacterium. RNAcentral's name for it is "partial 16S ribosomal RNA". It matches the Rfam family "Bacterial small subunit ribosomal RNA", at positions 568 to 796 of the family's 1533-position model. The record is from RNAcentral.
CAUGUAGGCGGUCUGUCAAGUCUGAUGUGAAAGCCCGGGGCUCAACCCCGGAAGUGCAUUGGAAACUGGCAGACUUGAGUACGGGAGAGGAAAGUGGAAUUUCGAGUGUAGGGGUGAAAUCCGUAGAUAUUCGAAGGAACACCAGUGGCGAAGGCGGCUUCCUGGACCGAUACUGACGCUGAGACGCGAAAGCGUGGGGAGCAAACAGGAUUAGAUACCCUGGUAGUCC